RNAcentral lists this ribosomal RNA (522 nucleotides) under Scheffersomyces stipitis. Its description in RNAcentral is "eukaryotic LSU rRNA". It matches the Rfam family "Eukaryotic large subunit ribosomal RNA", at positions 108 to 648 of the family's 3401-position model. The record is from RNAcentral. Lineage: Eukaryota; Fungi; Ascomycota; Pichiomycetes; Serinales; Debaryomycetaceae.
CUCAAAUUUGAAAUCUGGCACCUUCGGUGUCCGAGUUGUAAUUUGAAGAAGGUAACUUUGGAGUCAGCUCUUGUCUAUGUUCCUUGGAACAGGACGUCACAGAGGGUGAGAAUCCCGUGCGAUGAGAUGUCUGAUUCUAUGUAAAGUGCUUUCGAAGAGUCGAGUUGUUUGGGAAUGCAGCUCUAAGUGGGUGGUAAAUUCCAUCUAAAGCUAAAUAUUGGCGAGAGACCGAUAGCGAACAAGUACAGUGAUGGAAAGAUGAAAAGAACUUUGAAAAGAGAGUGAAAAAGUACGUGAAAUUGUUGAAAGGGAAGGGUUUGAGAUCAGACUUGGUAUUUUGUAUGUCUUGCUUUCGGGUGGGGCCUCUACAGUUUACUGGGCCAGCAUCGGUUUGGACGGUAGGAUAAUGACAUUGGAAUGUGGCACCACUUCGGUGGUGUGUUAUAGACUUUGUUGAUACUGCCUGUCUAGACCGAGGACUGCGUCUUUGACUAGGAUGCUGGCAUAAUGAUCUUAAACCGC